UACGUAGGGUGCAAGCGUUGCCCGGAUUUAUUGGGCGUAAAGGGCGCGUAGGCGGCUCUGCACGUUCGUUGUGAAAUCGCCCGGCUCAACUGGGCGGGGUCAGCGGAUACGGCAGAGCUUGAGCAAGCUAGGGGGCAAUGGAAUUCCCGGUGUAGCGGUGAAAUGCGCAGAUAUCGGGAGGAACACCAGUGGCGAAGGCGGAACUCUGGGCCGGAACUGACGCUGAGGAGCGAAAGCGUGGGGAGCGAACAGG
Molecule: ribosomal RNA, 253 nt
Filed under: uncultured bacterium
Lineage: Bacteria
Description: partial 16S ribosomal RNA
Rfam family: Bacterial small subunit ribosomal RNA
Source: RNAcentral